UGGCAUCAGCGUUGCGGCUCGAGGCAAAGCUGGUCCUGUGCCUGCUGUCCAUUGCCGCUAAGGCCUGCUGCUGCCAUUCAGGCGUGUCUCUCUCUCUCUCUCUCUUUCAUGCCGCUCUCUCCACCCCAUCUUGGGACGGCCAGCUCUAAGAAUUCCUGCUACGACACUGAAUUCAACCAGGAGGUGAUGCCACACUCAAUCAGAAACUAUGCUACUGCUGAAGAGGUAUAUUGAGCCCUGCCUGGUUAACCUCCAGUGAGGUUAUUAGAGAAUUGGGAGAGGCUCAAAUCAGCAUCCUGCACCUAGUUAUCAAACCAUUGUGAAGUCUUGAUUCCUGGAUGGCCAGAAAACUUGUCAUUGGUCAAGAGCAACAUUAAGAUCUGCCUGUUACUCAUACUGAUGCUUCCUGCCCAGCAAGUUCAUCAGAGGGCGAGGAUGAAUUACGGUUGCCAUGAAUGUCCUUGUGAGGCAGUUGGGAAGCCUUGGCUGGAUUGUGAAGGAUAUUUGAAAAGUAUUUUAGAGUCCACCAGAUCAUCCAUGUGAGUGACCAUGCAGCAAAAGAAGGAGGGUCCUCUCAGUGAUUAAGGAUUAUGAAGUAUUAAUUCUUCCACUGAUAUCUCAAAAGGUGAUCUGGACAAAGGAACAGGUAUCUCAGUCUUGCUGUGUCAGCCAGGUCCAAGUGCAGUGGCACAAUCUCCGCUCACUGCAACCUCCACCUCCUGGGUUCAAGUGAUUCUACUGCCUCAGACUCCCGAGUAGCUGGGAUUACAGGCACUUGCCACCAUGCACAGUGCAGAUGCUUUUUAGUUUGAUGCAACUCAAGUUGUCUGUUGCGGGAAGUCAGGGACCCCAAACGGAGGGACUGGCUGAAGCCAUGGCGGAAGAACGUGGAUCGUGAAGAUUUCAUGGACAUUUAUUAGUUCCCCAAAUUAAUACUUUUAUAAUUUCUUAUGCCUGUCUUUACUGCAAUCUCUAAACAUAAAUUGUGAAGAUUUCAUGGACACUUAUCACUUCCCCAAUCAAUACCCUUGUGAUUUCCUAUGCCUGUUUUAAUCUCUUAAUCCUGUCAUCUCGUAAGCCGAGGAGGACGUAUGUCGCCUCAGGACCCUGUGAUAAUUGUGUUAAGUGCAGAAAUUGUAGAGCAUGUGUGUUUAAACAAUAUGAAAUCUAGGCACCUUGAAAAAAGAACAGGAUAACAGCAAUGUUCAGGGAAUAAGAGAGAUAACCUUAAACUCUGACCGCCGGUGAGCCAGGCGGAACAGAGCCAUAUUUCUCUUCUUUCAAAAGCAAAUGGGAGAAAUAUCGCCGAAUUCUUUUUCUCAGCAAGGAACAUCCCUGAGAAAGAGAAUGUGCCCCUGAGGGUGGGCCUCUAAAAUGGCCCCCUUGGGUGUAGCUGUCUUCUAUGGUCGAGACUGUAGGGAUGAAAUAAGCCCCAGUCUCCCAUAGCGCUCCCAGGCUUAUUAGGACGAGGAAAUUCCCACCUAAUAAAUUUUGGUCAGACAGGUUGCUCUCAAACCCUGUCUCCUGAUAAGAUGUUAUCAAUGACGAUGGUGCCCGAAACUUCAUUAGCAAUUUUAAUUUCAACCCAGUCCUGUGGUCCUGUGAUCUCGCCCUGCCUCCAUUUGCCUUGUGAUAUUCUAUUACCUUGUGAAGCACGUGAUCUCUGUGACCCACCUCCUAUUCGUAUACUCCCUCCCCUUUGAAAAUCCCUAAUAAAAACUUACUGGUUUUACGGCUCAGGGGGCAUCACGGAACCUACCGACAUGUGAUGUCUCCCCAGGAUGCCCAGCUUUAAAAUUUCUCUCUUUUGUACUCUGUCCCUUUAUUUCUCAACCCGGCCAAUGCUUAGGGAAAAUAGAAAAGAACCUAUGUGACUAUCUGGGCAGGUUCCCUGAUAGUUGUCUGGCUGUUUUUGCUGCCCAUGCUUUUAAGGAUGUAUCCAAGAAAUCAUUGCCCAGAACAAC
Long non-coding RNA from Homo sapiens (human), 1964 nucleotides. Ensembl annotates it as FTX transcript, XIST regulator. Its record names the gene FTX. The record is from Ensembl. Lineage: Eukaryota; Metazoa; Chordata; Mammalia; Primates; Hominidae.